Molecule: long non-coding RNA, 2905 nt
Organism: Gorilla gorilla gorilla (western lowland gorilla)
Lineage: Eukaryota; Metazoa; Chordata; Mammalia; Primates; Hominidae
Exons: 2
Source: RefSeq, a predicted model, not a curated record
GGCCAGACUUUGGCAGCGUGUAAGGUCUGAGGACAGGGGCACCGGAGGCCGAGGAUGAGAGGCCAUUGCCUGUUUCCAGGCAGCCAGGGCCUCAGAAACUCCGGCCGGAGCACUCACCCGUCGGUGGAGGCCGUUACCAGGGCCACCUUAUUCGCGAGCGGGUCCCGGCGGGUCAUCCCGGAGCUGGCCAUCCGCACCGAAUUCCAAGCCCGGGCACAGAGGCCUAGCAGCCCCGUCUUGUGCAUGGCUCAGACCAGCAAGUGCCACUUCGGAUAAACCCUUUGGACUCCUAGCUCCAAUCAGGUGUCUGCUUUGUCGAGGACUCACAGACACAGUCUCCUUUCUUCAAGAUCUUUACAAUGCAAGACCUCACUAACACACAGGGGAUGGUCUCCCAGAGGGUCUGCGCUGUUCCUUCACUCAGAACAUCAAGAUGCACUGAAGUAAGGAUCCUCUAUUCUACAGUUCCUGCUAGCUGAGCUAUUCCAUGGGGGCUUCAGCAGGAAAUUCCAAGGUUGGCUUUGACAAGCUAAGGCCGGCUGGUGGAGCACAUCGAGUUCUGGAGGUUCAUGUGUGUUUUCAUGAAGAUCUGUCUGCCAGUAGCAGAUAAAGAGUUGUUGCCCCACUCCUCCUGGGGUCUUCUAUUUUCCUGGGAGGAAUUUCUGGAUUAACUGAACACACACACACACACACACACACACCCCUUUGAAGCAUCAACAGUAAUUCUGAGUUCUUAGGGACAAUGCAGAUUAAAUCCACAAUAAGAAAGACAACUAUGGCCAGGUGCGGUGGCUUACGCCUGUAAUCCCAGAACUUUGGGAGGCUGAGGCGGAUGGAUCACCUGAGGUCAGGAGUUCGAGACCAACCUGACCAACAUGGAGAAACCCCGUUUCUACUAAAAAUACAAAAUUAGCCGGGCAUGGUGGCAGGCGCCUGUAAUCCCAACUACUUGGGAGGCUGAGGCAGGAGAAUCGCUUAAACCCGGGAGGCAGAGGUUGCAGUGAGCCAAGAUCGUGCCAUUGCACUCCAGCCUGGGCAAGAAGAGCAAAACUCCAUCUCAAAAAAAAAAAAAAAAAAAAAAAGAGUACUAUUGAUCCAGAGGUGGCCAGACUAGCCUCACUGGAGAUAAUAGGUGACAUUAUUAUGCAAAGUGGUUUCAGUUCCCUUGUCUUGUUUUUGGAAUAGUAUAAGAGGCCUACAAUACGAAUAAAUAAGGCCCAUCACAAGCCUCACCAAAGGACAAAACUAAUCCACUUCUGAAGAAGGCUCUUUGUUGGGCCAGAUCAAAUCCUUGGACAGAACUGUACUCUUAAUCUCUGUAGUGAAAGUGGGGGGUAGUUUAAGAAUUUAUUAACCUUUUACCUUGAGCAAUCCCUCAGAAGUAAGAGGUGUCAGGCCUCUGAGCCGAAGCUCAGCCAUUGUAACCCCUGUGACCUGCACAUAUAUGUCCAGAUGGCCUGCAGGAGCCAAGAAGUCUGGGGCAGCUGAAAAACCGCACAAGAAGUAAAACAGCCUGUUCCUGCCUUAACUGAUUAACCAACAUUACAACAUUCCACCAUUGUGACUUGUCCCUGCCCUACCUUAACUGAUCAAUCGACCUUGUGACAGUCUUCUUCUGGGCAAUGGGUCUUAUCAUCUCCCCACCAUGUACCUUGUGACCCCUUCCUCUGCUAACAAUAGAUAACCACGUUUUACUGUAAUUUUCCAUUACCUACCCAACUCCUAUAAAGCAACCCCUUCCCCAUCUCCCUUCACUGACUCUGUUUUCAGACUCAGCCCACUUGCACUCAAGUGAAUAAACAGCCUUGUUGCUCACACAAAGCCUGUUGGUGGUCUCUUCACACAGAUGUGCUUGACAAAAGGGAAGGGUGGAUUUGUCCUUCUGGUUACAUAUGUUCUGCUCACUCAUUUUGAAUUUAAUUAAACAAGGAUUGCCCUUACCUUUUCAUACUUUGUAAGAAACCAUAAAUACUUAUGCACCAUGAUUUUUUUAAAGAAACACUUUUUAUUCUGAAGUAAUUAUAGUCUCAUAGGAAGUUGCAAAAGUAGUACAUGGAGUCCCUGAGUACUCUUCCCCCAAUGGUGACAACUGUAGUAUAAUAUCAAUUCUGGGAAAUUGACAUUGGUACAAUACUAAAUAGACUAUAGACCUUAUUCAGUUUUCAUUAUUUUUUACAUGCACUCAUUUGUGUGUGUCAAUGUGUGUCUGUGCUUCUCUGCUUGUUGAUGUAUUUAGGAGAAUUUUGACUAGCGAGCCAUACAGAGCUACUCCAUUCUUAUUCCUUUGUUCAUUAUCUGGAUGAACUAUCACUUACCAGUCCCCUGUUGGAAUCCACUUCAGUUGUUUAUGGUUUUUCUCUAAGGCAUGAUGUUGCAAUAGCAUCCUUGUACAUGUAGCUAGGAGAACUUGUACUAAGCCCAGAUAAAUAGUUGAAGUACAAGGGCAGAGGAGUGUGUCUUUGAUAUUUUAAUAGAAAUCACCUGUUGCCCUCUAGAAAAGCUGUGCCCUUUUCCAGUGGCAGAGAACCUUCCUGAAAGGCAGUCCUGUGUGAUGGUGUCCAUUUCAUCACACCCUUAUAACACUCAGCUUUAACAAACAUACAGAUUUUUGCUGAUGUGGGAGAAAAUAUUAAUUAUUAAUGAUAUUAAGGUGAUUAUCUUUUCGUAUGUUUAUAGAUAUUUGUAUUUCUUUUUGAAUGAACUGCUCGUGACCUUUGUCUGCUUUUAUUUGGUUGUUUACUUCUUUCUCAUUUAUUCCUAUAAACUCUUUAUAAAAGGAAAUUAACCAUUUGAUUGUCAUAUGUUGUGAAUAUUUUUACCAUUUUGACUUUUGAACUUAUGUCUUUUUAAUGAAUUGUAGAAGUUUAAAAUCUUUAUGGAAUAAAUUUAUUUAGUUUUUUGUUUA